AGCGAACGUUGGUGGCAUGCUUAACACAUGCAAGUCAAGGAGAAAGUUCCUUCGGGAACAAGUAAACUGGCGCACGGGUGAGUAACGCGUGGAUAAUCUACCUUGGGGACUGGGAUAACUUACCGAAAGGUGGGCUAAUACCGGAUAAUAUAGCCUCUUUAAGAGGCUAUCAAAGCUGGGGAUCUUCGGACCUAGCACCACAAGAGGAGUCUGCGUCCAAUUAGCUAGUAGGUAGGGUAAUGGCUUACCUAGGCGACGAUUGGUAGCUGGUCUGAGAGGAUGAUCAGUCACACUGGCACUGAAACACGGGCCAGACUCCUACGGGAGGCAGCAGUGAGGAAUAUUGCGCAAUGGACGAAAGUCUGACGCAGCAAUGCCAUGUGGAGGAUGAAGGCUUUCGAGUCGUAAACUCCUGUCAAGAGAAAAGAACCGUCGGUGGGCGAAUAGGCCACCGGCCUGACGGUAUCUCUAAAGGAAGUGCCGGCUAACUCCGUGCCA
RNAcentral lists this ribosomal RNA (498 nucleotides) under uncultured bacterium. Its description in RNAcentral is "bacterial SSU rRNA". It matches the Rfam family "Bacterial small subunit ribosomal RNA", at positions 29 to 510 of the family's 1533-position model. The record is from RNAcentral.